This 253-nucleotide ribosomal RNA is filed under the name uncultured bacterium. RNAcentral's name for it is "partial 16S ribosomal RNA". It matches the Rfam family "Bacterial small subunit ribosomal RNA", at positions 524 to 776 of the family's 1533-position model. The record is from RNAcentral.
UACGUAGGGCGCAAGCGUUGUCCGGAAUUAUUGGGCGUAAAGAGCUCGUAGGCGGCCUUCUAAGUCGGACGUGAAAGCCCCAGGCUUAACCUGGGAACUGCGUCCGAUACUGGGAGGCUUGGAUUCGGGAGAGGGAUGUGGAAUUCCAGGUGUAGCGGUGAAAUGCGUAGAUAUCUGGAGGAACACCGGUGGCGAAGGCGGCAUCCUGGACCGAGAUCGACGCUGAGGCGCGAAAGCUAGGGGAGCAAACGGG